RNAcentral lists this ribosomal RNA (254 nucleotides) under uncultured bacterium. RNAcentral describes it as "partial 16S ribosomal RNA". It matches the Rfam family "Bacterial small subunit ribosomal RNA", at positions 524 to 776 of the family's 1533-position model. The record is from RNAcentral.
UACGGGGGGGGCAAGCGUUGUUCGGAAUUACUGGGCGUAAAGGGCGCGUAGGCGGCCUACUAAGUCGGACGUGAAAUCCCUCGGCUCAACCGAGGAACUGCGUCCGAUACUGGCGAGGCUUGAAUUCGGGAGAGGGAUGUGGAAUUCCAGGUGUAGCGGUGAAAUGCGUAGAUAUCUGGAGGAACACCGGUGGCGAAGGCGGCAUCCUGGACCGAGAUUGACGCUGAGGCGCGAAAGCUAGGGGAGCAAACGGG